RNAcentral lists this ribosomal RNA (479 nucleotides) under uncultured bacterium. Its description in RNAcentral is "partial 16S ribosomal RNA". It matches the Rfam family "Bacterial small subunit ribosomal RNA", at positions 28 to 507 of the family's 1533-position model. The record is from RNAcentral.
GAUGAACGCUGGCGGCGUGCUUAACACAUGCAAGUCGAACGAAGCACUUAAGAUUGCUUCUUCGGAUGACGUCUUUUGUGACUUAGUGGCGGACGGGUGAGUAACGCGUGGGUAACCUGCCUCACACAGGGGGAUAACAGUUAGAAAUGACUGCUAAUACCGCAUAACCCGAUAGGAUCGCAUGAUCCAGACGGAGAAGAUUUAUCGGUGUGAGAUGGACCCGCGUCUGAUUAGCUAGUUGGUGAGGUAACGGCCCACCAAGGCGACGAUCAGUAGCCGGCCUGAGAGGGUGAACGGCCACAUUGGGACUGAGACACGGCCCAAACUCCUACGGGAGGCAGCAGUGGGGAAUAUUGCACAAUGGGGGAAACCCUGAUGCAGCGACGCCGCGUGAGUGAAGAAGUAUUUCGGUAUGUAAAGCUCUAUCAGCAGGGAAGAAAAUGACGGUACCUGACGAAGAAGCCCCGGCUAACUACGUG